Molecule: non-coding RNA, 100 nt
Organism: Chiloscyllium plagiosum (whitespotted bambooshark)
Lineage: Eukaryota; Metazoa; Chordata; Chondrichthyes; Orectolobiformes; Hemiscylliidae
Source: RefSeq, a predicted model, not a curated record
AAUCCAAUCUAAUCACAAUAUUACUGUUGGGCAUUUUAAAGGAGUGGUCUUUUGGGCUAAAGUUAGAUGCAACCCACAAAGUAAAACCUGUGGUCUGCAC